Molecule: ribosomal RNA, 459 nt
Filed under: uncultured bacterium
Lineage: Bacteria
Description: bacterial SSU rRNA
Rfam family: Bacterial small subunit ribosomal RNA
Source: RNAcentral
CAUGUGACGAGUUUGAUCCUGGCUCAGAAUGAACGCUGGCGGCAGGCCUAACACAUGCAAGUCGAACGAAGUCUUCGGACUUAGUGGCGGACGGGUGAGUAACGCGUGGGAACAUACCCUUUGGUACGGAAUAGCCUCGGGAAACUGGGAGUAAUACCGUAUGUGCCCUUCGGGGAAAGAUUUAUCGCCAAAGGAUUGGCCCGCGUUGGAUUAGGUAGUUGGUGGGGUAAUGGCCUACCAAGCCGACGAUCCAUAGCUGGUUUGAGAGGAUGAUCAGCCACACUGGGACUGAGACACGGCCCAGACUCCUACGGGAGGCAGCAGUGGGGAAUCUUAGACAAUGGGCGCAAGCCUGAUCUAGCCAUGCCGCGUGAUCGAUGAGGGCCUUAGGGUUGUAAAGAUCUUUCAGAUGGGAAGAUAAUGACGGUACCAUCAGAAGAAGCCCCGGCUAACUCCGUG